CGGUCAUCUAUACCACCAGCCGGCAUUGUCCAGGCACUUCAGUGGGAUGGCUCUCAAUUUUAUCAUUUCUUUCAGAAUAGGAAUCGGAGAUCUAUGUAAAAAAAAAAGUGGAGAAAAUCUCAGAAUGUGAUCCUGAACCCAAACAAAAAGAUUGAGGAGGAAAAACGUGCCUUUAAACUUACCCUCUUCUGUGAUACACUUGGAAAUAACAAUGGGCACCAUUUUCUAUGAUGACAUGAAUAGUAAUUUAAGUGAAAGCUGAUAUCAAUUGCCCUCUUGAAGUCCAGAGCUCCAGAAACCCUCCAACAAUGCAACAACAUUAUGUCUGAAGAGACUAAACAGACAAAGGAAACAAAACAGUUUUUUCCUCCGACAAAGGGGAAGGCAAACACCUCCAGCUCACUGGCAACCCAUAUCAGGUGUGACCGAUGACAACGGAUUAUUCGGUUGCAUUGGAAGUUGCAGGAAGGGUCCGUGUGAAACACAACAAGCUGAGCCCCCAGGACGGAUUCCUGACUUGUAACACAAAGACAGUCCCUUUGAGGAUAUAAAAGAACAGAGAGAGACUCCAUCUUUAUCCUUCACCUCAGGAGAUAAAAGAACCAAGAGAUUGGAUCUGAGUGAUGGAUCCUGGCCAGGCUGGCAAGUAAAAGGAGACUGUGGGUGGAAAAAAAAAGCCAUCUUAAACAAAGGCUGUAUCUUGAUAGAUUAAAUUUUCAUCUUUUUUA
This is a long non-coding RNA of Mauremys mutica (yellowpond turtle), 728 nucleotides long. RefSeq lists it as uncharacterized. The record is from RefSeq and is a predicted model, not a curated record. The transcript is spliced from 4 exons. NCBI's taxonomy places the organism in Eukaryota, Metazoa, Chordata, Testudines, Geoemydidae.